GAUGAACGCUAGCGGCAGGCUUAACACAUGCAAGUCGAGGGGUAUAGUUCUUCGGAAUUAGAGACCGGCGCACGGGUGCGUAACGCGUAUGCAAUCUACCUUUCACAAAGGGAUAGCCCCAGAGAAAUUUGGAUUAAUACCUUAUAGUAAUACGACUUGGCAUGAUUUGAUUAUUAAAGUUCCAACGGUAAAAGAUGAGCAUGCGUCCCAUUAGCUAGUUGGUAAGGUAACGGCUUACCAAGGCUACGAUGGGUAGGGGUCCUGAGAGGGAGAUCCCCCACACUGGUACUGAGACACGGACCAGACUCCUACGGGAGGCAGCAGUGAGGAAUAUUGGACAAUGGGCGCAAGCCUGAUCCAGCCAUGCCGCGUGCAGGAUGACGGUCCUAUGGAUUGUAAACUGCUUUUAUACAGGAAGAAACACUCCGACGUGUCGGAGCUUGACGGUACUGUAAGAAUAAGGAUCGGCUAACUCCGUGCCAGCAGCCGC
RNAcentral lists this ribosomal RNA (490 nucleotides) under uncultured bacterium. RNAcentral describes it as "bacterial SSU rRNA". It matches the Rfam family "Bacterial small subunit ribosomal RNA", at positions 28 to 518 of the family's 1533-position model. The record is from RNAcentral.